RNAcentral lists this ribosomal RNA (492 nucleotides) under uncultured bacterium. RNAcentral describes it as "partial 16S ribosomal RNA". It matches the Rfam family "Bacterial small subunit ribosomal RNA", at positions 29 to 507 of the family's 1533-position model. The record is from RNAcentral.
AGUGAACGCUGGCGGUAGGCCUAACACAUGCAAGUCGAACGGCAGCACAGUAAGAGCUUGCUCUUACGGGUGGCGAGUGGCGGACGGGUGAGGAAUACAUCGGAAUCUACUUUUUCGUGGGGGAUAACGUAGGGAAACUUACGCUAAUACCGCAUACGACCUACGGGUGAAAGCAGGGGAUCUACGGACCUUGCGCGAUUGAAUGAGCCGAUGUCGGAUUAGCUAGUUGGCGGGGUAAAGGCCCACCAAGGCGACGAUCCGUAGCUGGUCUGAGAGGAUGAUCAGCCACACUGGAACUGAGACACGGUCCAGACUCCUACGGGAGGCAGCAGUGGGGAAUAUUGGACAAUGGGCGCAAGCCUGAUCCAGCCAUACCGCGUGGGUGAAGAAGGCCUUCGGGUUGUAAAGCCCUUUUGUUGGGAAAGAAAAGCAGCAGGUUAAUACCCCGCUGUUCCGACGGUACCCAAAGAAUAAGCACCGGCUAACUUCGUG